This 90-nucleotide transfer RNA is filed under the name Halanaerobium hydrogeniformans. RNAcentral describes it as "tRNA-Leu (TAA) (tRNA-Leu-TAA-2-1)". It matches the Rfam family "tRNA". From Rfam's summary of the family: Transfer RNA (tRNA) molecules are approximately 80 nucleotides in length. Their secondary structure includes four short double-helical elements and three loops (D, anti-codon, and T loops). Lineage: Bacteria; Bacillati; Bacillota; Clostridia; Halanaerobiales; Halanaerobiaceae. The record is from RNAcentral.
GCCGGGGUGGCGGAAUUGGCAGACGCAUCGGACUUAAAAUCCGGUGGGAAUUUAUUCCCCGUGUCGGUUCGAGCCCGACCCCCGGCACCA